UUAGAUGUCGUGGACGGCACGCGUGUUACAMUGAUGCAUUCAUCAAGUCUUCCUUGGCCGAGAGKCCUGGGUAAUCUUUCAAAGUGCAUCGUGAUAGGGAUMGAUCAUUGMAAUUAUUGAUCGUGAACGAGGAAUUCCUAGUAAACGCAGAUCAUCAAUCUGCAUUGAUUACGUCCCUGCCCUUU
RNAcentral lists this ribosomal RNA (185 nucleotides) under uncultured eukaryote. Its description in RNAcentral is "partial small subunit ribosomal RNA". It matches the Rfam family "Eukaryotic small subunit ribosomal RNA", at positions 1492 to 1681 of the family's 1831-position model. The record is from RNAcentral.